Molecule: long non-coding RNA, 6284 nt
Organism: Brassica napus (rape)
Lineage: Eukaryota; Viridiplantae; Streptophyta; Magnoliopsida; Brassicales; Brassicaceae
Exons: 2
Source: RefSeq, a predicted model, not a curated record
UCGCACUCUUUCCCUUAUAUUUAGUGUAGUACUUAUCCUAUGGACUUGAGAAAGAACUUUUCUGUAAAUAGAGUAAAAGAAGGAAAAAUUGAAAACUUUCUCCUAGCAACAACUGGACUUAUCUAGCUGCAAUACUAUGUCAUGAGAGAAGCAAUGCGGAAAGAAGUCUGUUUUGUCUUUUACAUGUCUUAAUUACUGGUUUAUUAACUUAAAGAAUUUGUUUGUGAGGUAAUAAUAUUUUGUUUAUCUUGUAUGCAGGCUUUAAUAUUUCUUGCUAUGGUUUAUGUUCCAAGAGUUUCUAUAUAUAUUGGGUUACCAAAACAAAAUGCAACUUCUUACUUUAUGAGCAUCUCACCAUAGUGGAUGCUUGGGAAAACUUUAGUUCAUCCAACAUUAACAUAUGCGAUUGAAAUUGCACCUAUUCAAUCAGUGAUUGUACUCAUUUUCGGACUCUACGUAGUGAUUGCUAAAACGUACUGUGAGGAAAGGUAUGUUAGUAUUGGUAGUAGUGGUUAAUAUCAGAAGAAUUGCGAUGAGUGAUGUGUAAUCACGUGUUGAUAAGUUAUCGUCAGUAAUUCUUAAAUGAUAUGUGUGAGGAGAAAUAUGUUAUUGUUGGUAGUAUUAAGAAGCUACUUUAAUGGUUAAUAUUAGAAGAAUUGUAAUGAUUGAUGUGUAAUCACGUGUUGCUAAGUUAUCGUCAGCUAAUUGUAAUUAUUAAAUGAUAUGUGUGAGGAGAAGUAUAUUAUUGUUGGUAGUAUAAUAAGCUACUUUAGUGGUUAAUAUUAGAAGAAUUGUGAUGAUUGAUGUGUAAUCAUUUGUUGCUAAGUUAUCGUCAACUAAUUGUAAUUAUUAAAUGAUAUGUGUGAGGAGAAGUAUAUUAGAGGCGUGCAUUGAACUAGGUGUUUUAGGAGAUUAUGAGAUUUGGUUAAAAUCCUCUGUUAUUCAACUAAUGAUUUAAAAAAAAAAAUUCAAAUCAGCUGUUAUUAGAUAUGAAAUUUCUGCAGAGUUAUUAAAUGUCACUUAAAAUCUCCUGUUAUUCAACUAAUCAUUUGUAAAAAUUAUAUCAAAUCCACUGUUAUUCAAUGUUAAACAACAAUUUGAAAAGAAAAUUUGUAAAAGGGAUUUGAGGAGAGUUUACACCAGUUUUUAGUUGAAAACAAUUUCUAUAGAAUAACAUCUCUAGAGGUGUUAUUUGAAGAUAGUUGAGAAAAAAAUAACAUUCGUGGAAAAUAAUAUUCUUUUGCUCCUCUGCUUGAGAGCUCUUGUAAGCGGCAGAAGCCUGAGACACCCUUUCUGGUUUUGACUUCGUCACCUUCAUAAGUAUACAUGGCGGACGAAUCUCAGUACUCUCCCGGCUCUUGCUGAUACAUGCUUCUCUAGCCCCCAAGCCUCUAUGAAAUUUGAAUCAGUGAUUUCGUCCCUUGCAUCCCGAACUUCAAUUCGAUCAAGUAAGCCACCGUCGCGAACGGGACCGGAGAAAGUGAGGGUGGGUUCUUGGCUCUAGUGAGGGUGAGAAAUUUUCACCACUGUCUUGCAGUAGAAAUGUUGAUUGAUCCGAGCUGCCACGCCUUGGUCGCUGUUUGAAAAUUGGCUGUCUUGAUGAGUUGAAUUAGUGAUAAAGUGAUGAACUUUAUGAUUGUCAGAUUUCAUUUACAUUUGAAGGUUCAUUAAGCGUGGGGACUACUGUCUUGCUAAAGGGACAAGUUCUGGAUUUCAUACACACAUCAUUGUAUGAUGCACAAGAUGGCUACUUCUCACAACAUUCAAGAUUUGUUGGGGUUUUGGAGAGAAGCAUUGGGUUCAACCAGCAUGAAGGGAGGAAGGCUUACAUGUAGUUGACUACUUUUCUUUUUAUCGGAGCUUUGUUGACUAAUUUUCUCUUUGUAUGGAAGGAUGGCUUACAUGAAGUUGCUGGAUAAAGUUUAUAAGCAGAAUGACAUUUUUUGGUUUUUCUCCAGUGGAACUCUUCAAAGUCAAAUUCGUGGAUAGAUUCUUUGGUCAUAUAUUCUAAUAUACAUUAAUGGUCCAUCUGUUGGUAUACAUUAGUGGUCACAAGUUUAUGCAUAUAGCUUAUAAGUGAUUAGGUAAGUAUAGAAACUCCUAAGCAAUGUAUGUAAGCAGAGAUAACUAUUAUCUUCAAAUCACCUAAAUAACUUAAAUUUAGAAAAGAUAUUUUAUCAAACCACCUGGCGAUUGUUAUUUGUAUUUUUUAAAUUCUAACUAAAAUCACCCAAACAACCUCAAAACUCAUUAAAUCCCACCAAAAUUAAAAUACUCUAAAAUCUCCUAAAACCUUUAAUUCAAUACACCCCCUUACUGUUGGUAGUAUAAUAAGCUACUUUAGUGGUUAAUAAGAAGUAUUGCGAUGACUGAUGUGUAAUCACGUGUUGCUAAAUUAUAGUCAGUUAGUUGUAAUUAUUAAAUGAUAUGUGUGAGGAAAAAUAUGUUAUUGUUGGUAGUAUAAUAAGCUACUCCAGUGGUUAAUAUCAGAAGAAUUGCAAUGACUGAUGUGAAAUCAUGUGUGUUGGACCAUGAUUUUGUACCAAAUCACUUCUACUAUAGUUAUAUGUUAUUAUAUAAAUUAUUGUGGGACAAUAAUUCAUCACCAAAUCUCGUGUUGAUAUUAAACGUCAAAGACGAAGUCAAAAGUUAGUUACCGAUCUCUCGGACUCACAUGGACGUAAGAAGAGGUCAAAGACUGAAUUUUAGGAAGCACGUGCAACAACUUGAAACCCUUAUAAAAAGACAAAGCAAUUGAUUUAUACGGCCAUCUUCCAAAAGAGCUUCAGGGGGCUCACAACGACAAAUAAAACACCAUCCAUUACCAUUAUUAUUAAGGAGGAGACGUGUGCACUUAGUGAAUCCAGGCUCCAUGCGUUAACAUAGAUCAAUAAGACGAAGGGUUUACUAUACAUCAUCAUACACGUUUCUCUAUCACUCCAAUACGUCUCCACGUUUGUUGAAGAACAAGACUUAUCCUUCGUACGAUAAACGAUCUAACGAGAUCGUAAUCGACCGUCUCGAGUUCAACUUGUUCCCCAUUCGUGAAUGGGGUCUCGUUCUAAAGGAGGUAAACGACAUCUCGCCCGAGAUGGUAAGAGAUAAAACCGACGUCUUCUGAGAACUGACGAACUCGAUGUCUCUCCUGAGAACCGACGAACUCGAUGUAUCGAUCGGGACCGACAAACCCGACGUCUUGCUCAAGACCGAUGACACCAACAUCCCUUUCGAGAUGAUGAUAAUCGAACUACGUUUAGACUUGAUCCCACGACGGGUACGUAGGCAGCUCGUUCUCGAGUUCAGUCACGAUCUUCUCUUUCCCGAUAUCUUUAUGAUAUUCGACCUACGAAUAUAGUCCAUUUUCGCCGACUCAUACCUGAUUAUAUCGUUGUGUUCUAAGGAUAUCGUUGCCCACAUCAUUUUUCUUCUCCAGAUUGAACUCCCGAUCACUAUUAAAUACUUAGUGUAGAUUUUAGGUUCUACAAUGUUUUUCUAAGUCAUCGUCAGCUAAUUGUAAUUAUUAAAUGAUAUGUGUGUCUUUUGAAAUUCCAAUUAAUUAUAAUCUAUAUUUAUUGCGAAAGUAAUGACACACAAGAUACACAUGACUAAAAUUGUCAUUAAAAAAUAUGAGAGGAUAAUCCAAAUGGAUGAAAAUUCUUUUUCGAGAAAGAAAAAAAGUUAAAUUAAUGUUUAUGUAACAUAAAAAUUAAAAUUAAUGAAAAUUAUUUUAACAAAAAAGAAGGGCAAUUCUUUCAAAUGGUUUUUUUAAGUUUUGUCACAAAAAUAGCGAUAAACAAUGACCAAAAUAGCUUCUUUUUAUUUUAAAAUUUUUAAUUUUUUUUUUAAAUUUGAAACUUUAUCUCCAAAACCUCACCCCUUAUCUCUAAACCCCAAGUCUAACUUAGUUAACCUUAAAGUAAAAAUACAUUUUCACCAUUUAAUAAACUUAUUUUGGUCAUUUUUUUCAUUGAUUGCUAUUUUGUUACAAAAACUAAAAAAAAACUAUCAUAGGGAAUUUGUUAAAAAAGAAUCCAAAGAAAACAAAAAACAAAACGAAAAUUUUCUCCAACCAUAAUGUUUAUUUCCCCAAUUGUUUUUGUUUGUUAACUCUCCGAAAAUACUUAAAUAUCAUGACACUAUAAUAGCAUUUAGCGCUCAAAUAUUCAUCUCACCCUCUUCUCACAUACUCUGUUUCAUCCUCUCGCCUCAAGAAUCUGUAAAGCUUUUUUUAGUCAUUCCAUUGGAAGGUAAGAGGUCUCGUUUUCAUUGCUUCCUCUUAAAGUACUCUUCUUUAAGAUCGAAGUCGGCUCCUUUACUUCUCUCGCUUUCUUUUGUGUAGGAUCGCUCUCUCGUGCGGACCUUUCUCGAAAUGGAAGGUAACAACAAGAAAGCGAACACAAGUUCCAUAGACGUGAUCAGCACGUUACCAGAUAAUGUUCGCAGCAGAAUUUUGGCUUUCUUGACGACAAAAGCGGCUGCUUUAGCUCUGUUUCUCUCAAAGAGAUGGUAGAAUCGUCACUAUUGGGACGGGUCUGUUUCAAGUCAGACGUGUUGGACUUUAGUUAAUUAAAUGAAGGAACAUUUUAGACAAAACGUGUCGGUUAUGAGUUAAUGAGUCAACAUAUACAUGCGCCCGGUUGAGUUAACGUAUGUUUUGAUUAAAAGCACCACUUGAAUUAUUAUAUAAAAUAAUCAAGUGCAAUAUGAGAAAAGAAGAGAAAGAGGAAAGAAGAGAGAAGAUUAUUGAGUAUCAAUUGGAUUUAAUAUUUUUCUUUCCCAUAACAAGUUUCUGAAGGAAAACUCAAAAUAAAGUUUGUUAUGGUCUUGGUACGGAUGUGUCGUACGGAGAUUGGUAGUUGUAUCCUCAAGAUAGAUACCUACGAAACUACACACUAGGGCAAAAUUAUGUCUUAAGAAAUUGCUUAGACAAACCUCUAUCAAACCACAAUCAGUUAUGUUGUGAGAAGAAGAAACAUAAUUAUCUUAUAACAGUUUAUAAGAAUUUAUAAAUCAAGUAAGAUUUAUAAAAGUUUAUAAACUCAAACUUAUUGAGUACGUGUGAUUGAUUUGCAUCUGUACUUUGGAUUAACAAGACGCUCCAGAGGCUUGUGUACAGACGCGAUGAUGAUGCUUCUGGUUCGAAGCCUUGUGUUAUGUUUGAUACUCCGGGUCUUGUUUACUUGGAGUACUCUAAUGUAGUUGCUGAUAAGUAUGAGAAUCUGCGUUUGGACAGCUUGGUUGACGUUAGGCUUGAUCUUCAGUUGACCGGUGAUCAAAUUUUGCGCAAGAAUGCUACAGACGGUGUUGGUUUUGUUCCUGGUGAUUUUAGGGUAAACCACGAUUGUAUCAUAUUAGUUUUUUCCCAAAGAUUUACCCAAAUGCAAGGUCCCAAGUCAUGAAAGAAAGUGCUUGACCUUCCCAAGUUUACUGUUUUAAAGUUCAAUUUUUUUUUUUUAUUGUUUUAGUUCUCUACAUGUAUUUAAUCUGAAUUUGGCACAUACCCGAGCUAGGCACAAAUUUGAUGGGGAAUAAUAUAGAACUAGGUGACUGGCCCGCACCCUGUGCCGGCAUAAAAAUAUUCAAAAUGUGGAAUAAAUAGUAUACAGUUGUUGAAGUUACAGAUUUUAUAUUAUCACUAAGUAGAAUUGUAUUGUAUAUACGUUGUAAGUGUGUAUUUUAGGUGACGAAUAUAUUUAUGUUUAUAUUUUUCGUUUUAAAAUAGUGACAUAUUUAAAGAAAAUAUAAUAUAAGUCGAAAUAUAAUCUAUAAGUAAUAUAAAUUAAGAAGUACAAUUCUCAAUAAAGAAAACAAACCUGCAAAAAAUUAUUAAAUUUUGUAAGCAGUUGUACGAAAUAAAAUAAUUUCAUAGAUAUAUAAUUUUAUAAAUUUUAGCUAGCAUAUAUUUUCAAGAUGCUAUAUAUUAUUUCUCAUGGAUCUAUGUUAUUAUAAAUAGAGCUUCAUAUGCAUACAUAUUCUGUAUAUUAAGUUUUGCCAAAAAGAUUGGAUUGCCAACUCUAUAUAUCUUCCAUUGUAUUUAAAAAUAAUGACAUAUUUAAAGAAAAUAUAAUAAAAGUCAGAAUAUAAUCCAUAAGUAAUAUAAAUUAAGAAGUACCAUUUUCGAUAAAGAAAUCAAAAUCCAUUAGAAACCUGCAAACAAUUAUUAAAUUUUGUAAGCAGUUGUACGAAAUAAAUAAUUUCAUAGAUUUAUAAAUUUCUAAAUUUUAUUGAAUAGAAAAUAAUAUUAAAUUUACAUACCAUCAUCGAAAUAGUGUGAAAACUGGAUU